UCCAGGCCCUACGGGGCGCAGCAGUCGCGAAACCUUUGCAAUACACGAAAGUGUGACAGGGCUAUCCCGAGUGCCAUCCGCUGAGGAAGGCUUUUACCCAGUCUAGAACGCUGGGGGAAUAAGGAGAGGGCAAGUCUGGUGUCAGCCGCCGCGGUAAUACCAGCUCUCCGAGUGGUGUGGAUGUUUAUUGGGCCUAAAGCAUCCGUAGCUGGCUAAGUUAGUCCCUUGUUAAAUCCACCGAAUUAAUCGUUGGACUGCGGGGGAUACUGCUUGGCUAGGGGACGAGAGAGGCAGACGGUAUUUUCGGGGUAGGGGUGAAAUCCUAUAAUCCCGGGAAGACCACCAGUGGCGAAGGCUGUCUGCUAGAACGCGCCCGACGGUGAGGGAUGAAAGCUGGGGGAGCGAACCGGAUUAGAUACCCGGGUAGUCCCAGCUGUAAACGAUGCAGGCUAGGUGUUUGGACGGCCACGUGCCGUUCUAGUGCCGCAGGGAAGCUGUUAAGCCUGCCGCCUGGGGAGUACGAUCGCAAGAUUGAAACUUAAAGGAAUUGGCGGGGGAGCACCACAAGGGGUGAAGCUUGCGGUUUAAUUGGAUUCAACGCCGGGAAGGGCGAAUUCGCGG
This 621-nucleotide ribosomal RNA is filed under the name uncultured archaeon. RNAcentral describes it as "bacterial SSU rRNA". It matches the Rfam family "Archaeal small subunit ribosomal RNA", at positions 315 to 936 of the family's 1478-position model. The record is from RNAcentral.